GUGUGUAGGCGGCCUGUUAAGUUCCGUGUGAAAUCUCCCGGCUCAACCGGGAGGGUGCGCGGAAUACUGACGGGCUAGAGUGCGGGAUGGGAGAGUAGAAUUCCUGGUGUAGCGGUGAAAUGCGUAGAUAUCAGGAGGAAUACCGGUGAUGUAGACGGCUCUCUGGACCGUAACUGACGCUGAGACACGAAAGCGUGGGUAGCAAACAGGAUUAGAUACCCUGGUAGUCCACGCCCUAAACGAUGCAUAUUUGGUGUAGGUCAUUCAGUUGAUCUGUGCCGGAGCUAACGCGUUAAAUAUGCCGCCUGGGGAGUACAGUCGCAAGGCUGAAACUCAAAGGAAUUGACGGGGGCCCGCACAAGCGGUGGAGCAUGUGGUUCAAUUCGACGCAACGCGAAGAACCUUACCUGGGCUCGAACGGCUGGUCAACGAUCGUGGAAACACGGUUACUCCGCAAGGGGGUCCAGUCGAGGUGCUGCAUGGCUGUCGUCAGCUCGUGUCGUGAGAUGUUGGGUUAAGUCCCGCAACGAGCGCAACCCUCGUCCUGUGUU
This 551-nucleotide ribosomal RNA is filed under the name uncultured bacterium. RNAcentral describes it as "bacterial SSU rRNA". It matches the Rfam family "Bacterial small subunit ribosomal RNA", at positions 567 to 1116 of the family's 1533-position model. The record is from RNAcentral.